CCCUUAGAUGUUCUGGGCUGCACACGUGCUACACUGGCAGGUUCAGCGAGCUUCAUGCCCUGAUCUGAAAGGAAUGGGAAAUCUUUUCAAAACCUGCCGUGCUUGGGAUAGAUGUUUGCAAUUAUUCAUCUUCAACGAGGAUUGCCUUGUAAGCGCACGUCAUCAGCGUGCAUUGAAUACGACCCUGUAUUCUGUACACACCGCCCGUCGCUCCUACCGAUUGAAGUUUUCGGUGAGUUGACAGGAGGAUUUUUUUGAAACUGGUUCGCCAGUGGAUUUUAGAUCCAAAUGCCAACGAAUCGAUGGCUUUAGAGGAAGGAGAAGUCGUAACG
This 332-nucleotide ribosomal RNA is filed under the name uncultured eukaryote. RNAcentral describes it as "partial 18S ribosomal RNA". It matches the Rfam family "Eukaryotic small subunit ribosomal RNA", at positions 1470 to 1796 of the family's 1831-position model. The record is from RNAcentral.